RNAcentral lists this ribosomal RNA (414 nucleotides) under uncultured microorganism. RNAcentral's name for it is "bacterial SSU rRNA". It matches the Rfam family "Archaeal small subunit ribosomal RNA", at positions 459 to 872 of the family's 1478-position model. The record is from RNAcentral.
CAGCCGCCGCGGUAAUACCGGCGGCCCGAGUGGCGGUCACUAUUAUUGGGCUUAAAACGUCCGUAGCCGGGUUGGGAAGUCCUCCGGGAAAUCUGGCCGCUUAACGGUCAGAAUGCCGGAGGAUACUCCCAGCCUAGGGAGCGGGGGAGGCCGAGGGGAUUCCCGGAGUAGGGGUGAAAUCCUAUAAUCCCGGGAGGACCACCUGUGGCGAAGGCGCUCGGCUGGAACGCGUCCGACGGUGAGGGACGAAGGCCAGGGGAGCAAACCGGAUUAGAUACCCGGGUAGUCCUGGCUGUAAACGAUGCGGACUUUGUGUCGGACAAGCUAUGAGCUUGUCCGGUGCCGGAGGGAAACCGUUAAGUCCGCCGCCUGGGGAGUACGGCCGCAAGGCUGAAACUUAAAGGAAUUGGCGGG